GAUGAACGCUGGCGGCGUGCCUAAUACAUGCAAGUCGAGCGAACAGAUAAGGAGCUUGCUCCUUUGACGUUAGCGGCGGACGGGUGAGUAACACGUGGGUAACCUACCUAUAAGACUGGGAUAACUUCGGGAAACCGGAGCUAAUACCGGAUAACAUUUGGAACCGCAUGGUUCUAAAGUUAAAGAUGGUUUUGCUAUCACUUAUAGAUGGACCCGCGCCGUAUUAGCUAGUUGGCAAGGUAACGGCUUACCAAGGCUACGAUACGUAGCCGACCUGAGAGGGUGAUCGGCCACACUGGAACUGAGACACGGUCCAGACUCCUACGGGAGGCAGCAGUAGGGAAUCUUCCGCAAUGGGCGAAAGCCUGACGGAGCAACGCCGCGUGAGUGAUGAAGGGUUUCGGCUCGUAAAACUCUGUUAUUAGGGAAGAACAAAUGUGUAAGUAACUGUGCACGUCUUGACGGUACCUAAUCAGAAAGCCACGGCUAACUACGUG
RNAcentral lists this ribosomal RNA (497 nucleotides) under uncultured bacterium. RNAcentral describes it as "partial 16S ribosomal RNA". It matches the Rfam family "Bacterial small subunit ribosomal RNA", at positions 28 to 507 of the family's 1533-position model. The record is from RNAcentral.